AAACAUGUAAACAACAGAUCUGGCCCCUCUCUUUCACUCUCUCACUCUCUCACACGCUGCAUCUCUCCCACACUGUCGGCUUCUUCUUACCGGCAGCUCCCUCACCGUCGGCUUCUUCGCUCCUUCUCAUCGCCGACUCAUCUCCCUCUCACGAUCUGAAAAAUGGUGGAGAUGAAGAUGAAGAUCUGUUGAUGUUGUUGUUGAGAUCUGUUGAUGUUAUUGUUGUUGUUCAGAUCUGAAGAUGAAGAUGGUUUCUGGA
Long non-coding RNA from Camellia sinensis, 259 nucleotides. RefSeq lists it as uncharacterized. The record is from RefSeq and is a predicted model, not a curated record. NCBI's taxonomy places the organism in Eukaryota, Viridiplantae, Streptophyta, Magnoliopsida, Ericales, Theaceae.